AACGAACGCUGGCGGCAUGCCUAACACAUGCAAGUCGAACGAGACCUCCGGGGCUUGUGGCGCUCGUGUGCGUACCGAGUGGGAACUUGCCCUUAGGUACGGAAUACUUCACUGUAAGGGGUGCUAAUACAGGUUAAUGUCUUCGGACAAAAGAUUUGUCGCCUUUGGGUGGGCCGGCGUUGGUUUAGCUAGUUGGUAGGGUCAAAGCCUAUCAAGGCUACGUUGCAUAGCUGUUCUGAGCGGAUGCUCAGCCACACUGGGACUGAGACACGGCCCAGACUCGUGCGGGAGGCGGGAGUGGUGAAGAUUGGACAAUGGGCGAAAGCCUGAUCCAGCAAGGCCGCGUGAGGGAUGAAGGCCUUAGGGAUAUAAAGCUCUGUUACCCGGGAGGAUAAGGACAGUACCGGGAGAAUAAGCCCCGGCUAACUCCGUG
This 433-nucleotide ribosomal RNA is filed under the name uncultured bacterium. RNAcentral describes it as "partial 16S ribosomal RNA". It matches the Rfam family "Bacterial small subunit ribosomal RNA", at positions 29 to 507 of the family's 1533-position model. The record is from RNAcentral.